UACCGUCAUCAUCUUCGCAUCUGAAAGAGCUUUACAACCCGAAGGCCUUCUUCANNNACGNGGCAUGGCUGGAUCAGGCUUGCGCCCAUUGUCCAAUAUUCCCCACUGCUGCCUCCCGUAG
This 121-nucleotide ribosomal RNA is filed under the name uncultured bacterium. RNAcentral's name for it is "partial 16S ribosomal RNA". The record is from RNAcentral.